CCUCAAACCUGUGGAACAUGAGAGGAGGAUUUUAUGUUUUUUCAAAUGUUUUACUCAUUAAAAAAAAGCUUUGUUCAGUGUUACUGAUAUUCAAGUUUUAGUAGAAGUAGGAUGUAUUGCUUUGGGGCUGAAAAUCUGAAACCUUCUGAGGGUUGGGUGUUUUUAGAGGCUCAUAAAAUUACUUUUUAAAUUCUUCGGUAUUCUUAUGAUGGCAUUUUAUUUUCCUUUUUUAUAGGCCCACUGGCAUCUCCUUCGGCUUGCCAUCUGGUGUCAUUUGAUUAUGUGGGAGAUCAGGCAUGAACAAAUAUGUGUGCUUGGUUCUCCUGAGAUUACAAUUUGAAAGUUUUACCAUGAAAAAGCCGGGCACCAGGGGGCCGGUGGGUUGAAAUGACUCUUUGAAUAAACACUCUUUGGUCUCUCUCAAUGAGAAUAGAGAGGGAGCGCUGAGCUUUUAACAGCGUUCACAGGACACGAGGCAGGAGGUCGGAGCCGCUGUCUCUGGGCAGAUGUCUGUUUCACAGUGUCUGCGCUGAUCCUAGAGCAGUUUUCUAGUUUCCUUUCGGUCAACAGUUUGAUUUCUGAAGAAGAUCCUGGCAUGCCUGGUUCUGGAGAAGGCCAACUGUUAUUCCCAGUGGGGUUAUCAGACAAAGCACUUCAUGAACUGUGCAGCCACUGGCCUCAGACCAGCUGAAACUGCUUAGCCCCAGUCGUAAAGCAAAAGGUCUCUUCAAGCGAUCCAUAAGUGCUCCUAUCCCCAAGAGUGGAGGCCGCGGUCUGUUCAAGCCACGCAGGAAAGCUUGAAGGAAAACAGCAUGGCAGACAAGUCAGAAGAUCAAAGACCCCCUCAGACGACAGACCCCGUCUCCAGACAUCCAAUCUCUUCCCCUUCAUGGUUCUAAUUAGCAGAUGGUGGAGAAAUGGCUCAUAUUAUGGUUUUAUCAAUUAGAGAGAGACGUUCAUAUCUUUCUUUUUCUUGCUGUCGGCUCAUGAGCAUGGCAUAGAUAGAUGAACUGAGAGAAGGAAAGAGAACCGCUGCUUCAUUUAAUCUGAACAAAUUAGUUCACCAUGGAAAAGGAACAUUUUGGUAUUUUCUUUUCUGAUGACUUUCAGUCUACAAAUGUG
RNAcentral lists this long non-coding RNA (1122 nucleotides) under Carassius auratus (goldfish). Its description in RNAcentral is "lncRNA (ENSCARG00000008206.1)". Lineage: Eukaryota; Metazoa; Chordata; Actinopteri; Cypriniformes; Cyprinidae. The record is from RNAcentral.